GUGCCAGCCGCCGCGGUAAUACGGGGGGUGCGAGCGUUGUCCGGAAUCACUGGGCGUAAAGGGCGCGUAGGUGGUCUGAUAAGGGUGUGGUGAAAGUCCGGGGCUCAACCCCGGAUCUGCCGUGCCGACUGUCAGACUCGAGGACUGUAGAGGCAGGCGGAAUUCCGGGUGUAGCGGUGGAAUGAGUAGAGAUCCGGAGGAAGACCGGUGGCGAAGGCGGCCUGCUGGGCAGUUUCUGACACUGAUGCGCGACAGCGUGGGGAGCAAACAGGAUUAGAUACCAUAGUAGUCC
This 292-nucleotide ribosomal RNA is filed under the name uncultured bacterium. RNAcentral's name for it is "partial 16S ribosomal RNA". It matches the Rfam family "Bacterial small subunit ribosomal RNA", at positions 505 to 796 of the family's 1533-position model. The record is from RNAcentral.